Molecule: ribosomal RNA, 34 nt
Filed under: Streptococcus agalactiae
Lineage: Bacteria; Bacillati; Bacillota; Bacilli; Lactobacillales; Streptococcaceae
Description: partial 23S ribosomal RNA
Source: RNAcentral
GUUAAUAAGGGCGCCAGUGGAUGCUUGGCAAUAG